UGUGCNAAGGUAGCAAAAUCAAUUGUUCAUUAAUUGUGGACUGGAAUCAAUGGCUCGACGAUAGAAACACUGUCUCUUUCUACUUCUUUUGAAUUUUAUUAAAGAGUGAAGAAGCUCUUAUGUAAUAGCGGGACGAGAAGACCCCGUUGAGCUUUAGUUAGACUAAGCUUAUACAAAUCUUAAUAACUUAGGUUGGGGCAACCAUUUUUAAAUAAAACAAAAAUAAUAAAUGGAUGAUUCAAAUCUUUUUAAUAAGCCUUAAUUUUAGGAAAAUGUAAAAAGUUACCACGGGGAUAACAGCGUAAUUUUUUUUGAGAGUUCUUAUUGACAAAAAAGUUUGCGACCUCGAUGUU
Molecule: ribosomal RNA, 353 nt
Filed under: Ophiothrix angulata
Lineage: Eukaryota; Metazoa; Echinodermata; Ophiuroidea; Amphilepidida; Ophiotrichidae
Description: partial 16S ribosomal RNA
Rfam family: Bacterial large subunit ribosomal RNA
Source: RNAcentral